AGCGAACGCUGGCGGCGUGCCUAACACAUGCAAGUCGAACGUGAAAGGGAGCAAUCCCAAGUAAAGUGGCGUACGGGUGAGUAACACGUAGGUAAUCUACCCCAGAAUCUGGAAUAACCGGCCGAAAGGCUGGCUAAUACUGGAUAGAGCGACGGAAUCCGUAAUUGGGUUUUUCGGGAAAGGGAGCCUGUAAAAAGGCCUUCGUUCUGGGAUGACCCUGCGUCCCAUCAGCUAGUUGGUGAGGUAAAAGCUUACCAAGGCAAUGACGCGUAGCUGGUCUGAGAGGACGAUCAGCCACACUGGAACUGAGACACGGUCCAGACUCCUACGGGAGGCAGCAGUGGGGAAUCUUGCGCAAUGGACGAAAGUCUGACGCAGCAACGCCGCGUGAGUGAAGAAGGUCUUCGGGUUGUAAAGCUCUGUCGGGAGGGAAGAAAAUGCUUGGAGUUCACAGCUCCAGGAACUGACGGUACCAAUCAAGGAAGCACCGGCUAACUACGUG
RNAcentral lists this ribosomal RNA (502 nucleotides) under uncultured bacterium. RNAcentral's name for it is "partial 16S ribosomal RNA". It matches the Rfam family "Bacterial small subunit ribosomal RNA", at positions 29 to 507 of the family's 1533-position model. The record is from RNAcentral.